AAGUGGCCGUGUCCGUUCAGCAAGAGCCCGAUCUACCGAGUGUUAAGCCUCUAGAAGAUGCAGCUCUUCUCAGUCCUACGCUCACAGCAGAUACACAAGAGGACACACAAACUGUUGGAACCCAUACCUUCCGAACCCAUAUCUUCCCCAUGUCUGCUGCAUAAUAGACCACUAACAUUUGUUUAUUCUGUAGUGUAGACCACUAACAUUUGUUUAAUUCUGUAGUGCUGAACACCUCAAACACUAACAUUUGCCUAGUUAUUUUAUUCAUGUAAACACAGUAUAAAUCUGUGCAUUGUUCACCACCGUUCAUCUAUCUCGGAAAUACAAGUAAUAUACAAUUGUCAACCUUCCUUUUAUUUCACCGAAACCUGUGCAUGAACCCGUGACCAUGACUUCCGAGGCAUGCAACCCACAUGACCGAUUGUGGAGGAACCAUCGCAGACUUGAGCAGUCCAAAAACAAUAACCCAGCCAGCCCAGCUCGACGAUGCUAGCCCAUGCAACUCAGGCAGUAACUCGUGACCCCGUUAGACCCAUAGCCCGUGAAACCAUGGAGACCCGAACCAAUAGCAUGAACCGUUGAGAAGCCAGUAGUGUACGCAAGGCAAUACGGGAAGGAGAAGGGUCCGACGAUGGAGACCUCUUGCCGAACUUCGACUUCACGAUCGAAGAAGAGUUGACUUCUACUAACAGGACCCGGUCGGUGGUUUUGAUGGUCGUGGGCAGCACUGACUUCGACGGCUCGUUCCCUCGGAAGGUGACGAGAAGCAUAUAGAAGAAAAAUAACGCGCAGUGCAACGCUCUCUCUGAUCAGGUCCACGAGGACUCCGUCUUCGUGGGCAAGAUCACCCAUCUAUGGCCGAACCGCUUUCCCCCGCGAAUCUUCACUAAGGCCACCGAUACUCUCCCAUGAUGAAUUGAGACAGCACAAAAGGACUAUGUUUGCGCAGGUACUGAAGAUUAUGGAAUGGAUUAACUGCUAGCUUAAGAGAUUUAAAGCUGUGUAGUUAGGAUUUUAGUACUUGUACUCAUAGAUGUUUGUACUAUUUGCUUGUAAUAUGUUUAGACAUUUACUUGUAAUUAAUAAGUUCCAUGCAUGCUUUAGUGUCACAUGUGACAUAUGUUUCUUUGUAAUUAGUGUAAAGACUUUUAAUGUAUUUUCUAGAAGAUGUCAGUUAAAGCUCUGAAUAUAUCGUAAGGGAAUUGUCCCUAUCGGUAAUGUUAAAAAAAAAAAAGAUAUUCGUAUUUUUCCGC
Alnus glutinosa is the source of this 1256-nucleotide long non-coding RNA. RefSeq lists it as uncharacterized. The transcript is spliced from 3 exons. Lineage: Eukaryota; Viridiplantae; Streptophyta; Magnoliopsida; Fagales; Betulaceae. The record is from RefSeq and is a predicted model, not a curated record.